Molecule: non-coding RNA, 51 nt
Filed under: Trypanosoma lewisi
Lineage: Eukaryota; Euglenozoa; Kinetoplastea; Trypanosomatida; Trypanosomatidae
Source: RNAcentral
AUAUUAACAAAAAUAACAAAAAAUUCAUUGUCAGUUGUAGAGUUAUAUUAG